Molecule: unclassified non-coding RNA, 213 nt
Filed under: plant metagenome
Description: partial contains small subunit ribosomal RNA, internal transcribed spacer 1, and 5.8S ribosomal RNA
Source: RNAcentral
UUUCCGUAGGUGAACCUGCGGAAGGAUCAUUCAUAAUAAGUGUUUUGUGGCACUUUUUUAAAUCCAUAUCUACCUUGUGUGCAAUGUCAGUGUUGAUUUUUCUCUCGAGAGGAUCAACCCCAAACAUCAACUAUAUCUCAACUCUUUGUCUGAAAAAUAUUAUGAAUAAAACAAUUCAAAAUACAACUUUCAACAACGGAUCUCUUGGCUCUC